CUUCCUAUUGCAUUCCGUCUGCUCCUGCCUUCUGCCCUGCAGUUUAACCAGUUCGGGGCUUCCUCACAGGCAAAGUCUUCCUGGGCCAACUCACCUGGCAGGGACCUCCUGUGAGAUGGGACUGGAUGCAGGGUCAGGCAGGGACAUUUGGGAUUUCAACUGUGCCCUGGUUAAUUAUGGGAGUGUGGCAAUUUUCUUUCCUUCUAUGAACCUUCAUUUUCAGUGAGACUGUCCUGAUCUACCCCGUGGAGUAGCUGAUGGGAUUAUGUAAACGUUUAUCUGAAGCUUUUGAAAUGUUUGCCUCCGUUCCUACUCUUCACUGGCGUUCUCCAAAGUGGGAUGUGAGCGUGGGGCCCCUGACACUUCUUUGGAGCACGAGAUUGAUCUUAUCCUCCAUCUCCCCAGUUCUGGGUCUCUCUCCUGCUGGUUCACAGGUUUGAAAGGGAUAAAGAGAAGAUGCCAUCACCAGAAGAGAACUUGGAGACAGAGACUGAGCAGAGAAGGCUCUUGGACAGGAGUAGUGACUUUUAGUCAAGAGAUGAAUCCAGCCUGUGGUACCCCCACAGAGAGCCAAGGAAAUAAAUACCUUUAACUUUCCACCCACUCCCUCUGAUCUCUUGCUGGUACUUUUCAUUGACUGAAUUCAACUAGAAGCUAAGGGCAGGCACAGGGAGUCUGGUGGUGCUUGUUAGCCUUCUGGUGCAGAGAAAGGAUGAAGAAAGGACAUAUGGAAGCUAUCAAGCCAGGAGGACAUACUGGAAAUUGCAGAGCUUUAUAGAGUUCACCCUUCCCCCAUUUUGAUAAGCGUCUCUGGGUAGAGCAGAAAGAGACUUGCCCUUCUGCCUUUCCCACUCAGACUUUGGUGGAGAAUCACUGCAGUGUAAUGAGAAAUGGUCGUUCUGUUAGCUGCAUGUAAGGAAAAAAUGUUGCGAACCAAUGAUCUAUAAGAAAGGACAAUACCAUUUUCCUUAAAUGUUUCUUUUUCUCACACGGAUUUUACAUUGGAGCUAAGUCACAGCUCUGAAAUAGAGAAAUUUAAUAGAAUGUGAAGACACUCCUUACGUUUAGAAUAUCAGAUGCAUUAUGAGUCAGUGCUCACAGGCAGAAUUAGAUAACCCUUGGGGAGAAUAGAUUCCCUUCCCCAUGACCUGUGGGUAGAUCUCACCCUAUAUGAAGGCGAAUACACUAAUAGGGGCCUCUGAGGACUAUGUCUGGUGACCUGACAUCUGGAUGUUGCUUUGAUUGCUCAUAGAUAAGUGCACCCCAAGCCCAGACAACUUGAAACCUAUGUAUCCCUAUAGCGACAAUAAUUAUAAUAACAGCCAGGUCUACAAAGCCAACUGCAUUGCCAAUGAGGCCAUUUAAAAUAUUGAAAGAUACAUUCUAGAACUUAUGAAAUCUCUGGCCUGAUCUCCAAUAUUAUA
This is a long non-coding RNA of Cercocebus atys (sooty mangabey), 1424 nucleotides long. RefSeq lists it as uncharacterized. Lineage: Eukaryota; Metazoa; Chordata; Mammalia; Primates; Cercopithecidae. The record is from RefSeq and is a predicted model, not a curated record. The transcript is spliced from 3 exons.